This 252-nucleotide ribosomal RNA is filed under the name uncultured bacterium. Its description in RNAcentral is "partial 16S ribosomal RNA". It matches the Rfam family "Bacterial small subunit ribosomal RNA", at positions 524 to 776 of the family's 1533-position model. The record is from RNAcentral.
UACGUAUGUCGCAGGCGUUAUCCGGAUUUAUUGGGCGUAAAGCGCGUCUAGGCGGUUUGGUAAGUCUGAUGUGAAAAUGCGGGGCUCAACCCCGUAUUGCGUUGGAAACUGCUAAACUAGAGUACUGGAGAGGUGGGCGGAACUACAAGUGUAGAGGUGAAAUUCGUAGAUAUUUGUAGGAAUGCCGAUGGAGAAGUCAGCCCACUGGACAGAUACUGACGCUGAAGCGCAAAAGCGUGGGUAGCAAACAGG